Molecule: ribosomal RNA, 756 nt
Filed under: Escherichia coli
Lineage: Bacteria; Pseudomonadati; Pseudomonadota; Gammaproteobacteria; Enterobacterales; Enterobacteriaceae
Description: partial 23S ribosomal RNA
Rfam family: Bacterial large subunit ribosomal RNA
Source: RNAcentral
AUGGAGCCGACCUUGAAAUACCACCCUUUAAUGUUUGAUGUUCUAACGUGGACCCGUGAUCCGGGUUGCGGACAGUGUCUGGUGGGUAGUUUGACUGGGGCGGUCUCCUCCUAAAGAGUAACGGAGGAGCACGAAGGUUGGCUAAUCCUGGUCGGACAUCAGGAGGUUAGUGCAAUGGCAUAAGCCAGCUUGACUGCGAGCGUGACGGCGCGAGCAGGUGCGAAAGCAGGUCAUAGUGAUCCGGUGGUUCUGAAUGGAAGGGCCAUCGCUCAACGGAUAAAAGGUACUCCGGGGAUAACAGGCUGAUACCGCCCAAGAGUUCAUAUCGACGGCGGUGUUUGGCACCUCGAUGUCGGCUCAUCACAUCCUGGGGCUGAAGUAGGUCCCAAGGGUAUGGCUGUUCGCCAUUUAAAGUGGUACGCGAGCUGGGUUUAGAACGUCGUGAGACAGUUCGGUCCCUAUCUGCCGUGGGCGCUGGAGAACUGAGGGGGGCUGCUCCUAGUACGAGAGGACCGGAGUGGACGCAUCACUGGUGUUCGGGUUGUCAUGCCAAUGGCACUGCCCGGUAGCUAAAUGCGGAAGAGAUAAGUGCUGAAAGCAUCUAAGCACGAAACUUGCCCCGAGAUGAGUUCUCCCUGACUCCUUGAGAGUCCUGAAGGAACGUUGAAGACGACGACGUUGAUAGGCCGGGUGUGUAAGCGCAGCGAUGCGUUGAGCUAACCGGUACUAAUGAACCGUGAGGCUUAACCUUACAAC